AAAAUAUAUAUAAGUUGGAAAUAAGAAAAAGAGUCCAUUUGGUAAAUAAAAGGUUUUCACGUGAGAACAGAGAAGCGGCUCAAAAAGAGGAAAAGGGCAAAGAGCAGAGCAAGAGGAAGAAGGUUGGAGAAGAGAAAAGCUUGAAGCUUAAAGAUUCGCCGGAUUAACUCAGGUAACGAGCAGUGAUUGAGUAGGAGCUAGUGCUUGGAGUCUAGUGUAGUUCCUUAGUGGGUCAUGCUCUGGUAGAUGUAACAUCGGGAUGGGAUGUUUUAAAUGUUUCUUGUUGGUUGUGAACCAGUUACAUGUAAUAUGCUACAUGUUUUGAAUGAUCGAUUUGAUCUCUA
Long non-coding RNA from Lathyrus oleraceus (garden pea), 344 nucleotides. RefSeq lists it as uncharacterized. The record is from RefSeq and is a predicted model, not a curated record. NCBI's taxonomy places the organism in Eukaryota, Viridiplantae, Streptophyta, Magnoliopsida, Fabales, Fabaceae. The transcript has 2 exons.